GCUAACAUUCAAAUUAAUUAAAUUUGAUAAGUGAACUAAACUCAGUUUUCAUCAACCUGUUGUGAACACUACUUUUAAAUAAGUAAGUAGUAAUUUGGGGUUGGAGAACUUGCUUAACUUGAUAUAUCCCAGUUAAGUCAAAUUAGAAAAAAUAAUUUAUUGUACCCAGUGUCCUUUGCGCGUUCUAUCAGACAUGCGCAGAUCUGCCCUGCCUACUUUCGCGCUCUUUCCAACACCUUUCUCAUUUAUUUUCGCCAUUGUGGGUUUAUUUGUCCUCAGCACACUGAUUUGGCUGAAGCAAAUGGUCAGAAGUCCACACAUACCUCAGUCUCUGCAAUUACAGGUCAACCAGAGCAGUAUUCUCUAAUGCAGUGGACUUGUAAGUACUGCACAUUUUCUGCUGGAAAGAGAGGCUACUUGCUUAAGCAUUACCGCUUAAAACAUGGAUACCACACUCGGACAUCCCUACUCCCCAUGUCUUCAUAAGGACUGCCUCUGCACAUUUAAAUCUUUUAAUGCACUCAAAGUACACCUAUCGACAUGCCACUCUCAAAAAGAUGCAGACAAAAGUGGAGAAACUGCAUUUGACUGUCAGUUGUGCAACUUUGUGGAGCCUUGUUAAGAAGCAGACUUCUUUACCCAUUUGCGAAGACAUCUUAAGCUGAGGCAAAUGGUUACUUGCAUAUAUCAAGACUGUAACUUUCAGAGCACUGUUUAUUCUACCUUCACUGCACACAAAAGCAGAAAUGUGAAAUGAGUUUGAACCAUAGUAUGGGUAGGACAUUUGUGUCUAAAUCAUUCAAUCCCAAUAAAAGUUGCUUCAAUCAAAAAAAAAUAUUUUUAAUGAAAGAAAAAGAACCUCUUGCUAAAAUGUUUUUUUGAAAAUAUAUAUUUUUUGAAAUAUAUAUAUUUUUUUAUUGACGUGUCAC
Long non-coding RNA from Corythoichthys intestinalis (scribbled pipefish), 929 nucleotides. RefSeq lists it as uncharacterized. The record is from RefSeq and is a predicted model, not a curated record. The transcript is spliced from 3 exons. NCBI's taxonomy places the organism in Eukaryota, Metazoa, Chordata, Actinopteri, Syngnathiformes, Syngnathidae.